This is a long non-coding RNA of Fukomys damarensis (Damara mole-rat), 2083 nucleotides long. RefSeq lists it as uncharacterized. Lineage: Eukaryota; Metazoa; Chordata; Mammalia; Rodentia; Bathyergidae. The record is from RefSeq and is a predicted model, not a curated record. The transcript has 3 exons.
CAGCGUCUUUAUAUAUUUAUUUGCAUUUGAGGCAGAAAGGGCGGGAAAGCACUCAAUGAGGCGCGUGAGGUGAGAGGUGAGGUGAGGACAGCCAGGCUGAAUGAUUGACUGGUGGGCCUCGAGGUGGAACCUUCUGUCGCAGAAAAGGCCUGGAGAGACUGGCCCCUUACUCUUCUCUGAGGAACGGAACCCCAAAAACAUAGAUUUAAAGAGACAGACUGAGAAAACAGCUGCCCAGGAGCAGAGACCUCCACACUCAUCGCACAGGAACAGAGCACAGUUCAGAGAGAAGCAAAGCCAGGCGGAAGAAGAGCCGGAAGUGAGAGGCAGACGAUGGUGACGCCAAGGGCUCAGAGGCGAGGAGAAGUUGUGAUGGAGUCAUAGAGAUGAGGGGACAGAAAUGGGGCCCACAGUCACGUUGGAGGAUCUGAGCUAGGGCCCUGGGGAAGGGGCUUGGGGAUGGUGACAGGCAGAGCUGGGACAACAGGUGUCAGAAGUGGAACUGACAGGAAAAGGAUAAAGUCAGAGGCCAAGGAGAAGAUGAAACGGGGGACCAGGGAGAAGCGACCGCGAGACAGACGGAGAGGGCAGUGAGGCACAGCCAGGGACGGAGGUGAGGCCGUCUGGGAAGAGUGGCGGAUGCCGAGGACAGUGGUCCAGGUGGGAAAGCCUCGGGAGGUGCGUACAGGACGGCGACAGGGACAAAGACCAAGGCCGAAGUGCUAGAGGGGAGAGACGAGGGGCAGCAGUGACACACGGAGAAGGGACGGCGAAGACAGACGCAGGGGAUGACAGUACAGGGGCCGGCGAGGGGAGACAGAGGUACAAGUCAUGCCGCCAAGAGGGACAGAAACAGAGCAGGUGCCAGAGACAAGGCUGGAGACCACAGCGACGGCAGCAAAGCGAACGCAUCGCGACGCAGCGGGCAGGGAUGCAGGGACCCAUGUCGGAGACACAGGAGAGAGUAACAGACACGGAGUGGGCUGGGGCCACACAAGUGAGGAGGCAGAGCGUGAGGGGCCAGGACGCAGAGCAAACGGAAGCAGAGGAGCAGGGAGAGCGGAUUCAGACUGAAGGAGACAGGGGAGUCGCACGGGACAGCGUCUGAGGGGACAGCAGGAGAAGCAGAGACCCACAGUAGAGGGCCACAGUGGUGGAGUCCCUGAGUUCCAGGGUCAGGAGCAGCGCAUUCGAUGACAGAGAUGAAGGAACAGAGGCAGAGUGGAGGGCAACAGAGGGCUCCGUGGCCAAGGUGCUGGACACAGAAGCAAAAGGCACUGAGACAGCCCGAGGGCAGAGCAAGAACAGCAGCGACGACAUCUUGUGCCACAGACCGAACGCCAACACUCAGCAGAGACCAUUCGGGAUGGUUCCACGGAAGCACAUUUCCCUGAAGCCCUUCUGUUGGCUGAGAGCGCCCAGAAGUCACUGGGCACCUCGGCUAACGGCCCCAUGGCCCAUUUCCAGAGCCAGCCGGGCAGCGCCGCAGCCUCUGCGCUGCUGGCGUCGGCUGCCUCGAAGGCCCCAGCAACCGUGCCUUCCCUGCGUUCAGCGCAACUGACUGGAAACCGCGGAUCCGCAGGCAGCCCGGGCCCUCGCUGCCUUCCUAGAUGGGUGCACAGGGGCGUCCGUGUCACAGGGAGCGCGCGGGCCACGCUCACCACGCAGACCCCCAGCUUCCAGACGGGGUGGGGGCAGCAGGGGCUGCUGCGUGUCAGCCGCUGUGCUCAAACUUGACAUGCGUAUAACGUACCUCUUAUGACAGCCCUCGUAAAUACAAACGAGCACCCUGUUUUACACUUGGGAAAACAGGGUCAGAGUGACAGGGUGAUUUGUCCCACAACGUGGUGAGGUGGUGUCAGAGGCAGGAUUUGCAUUUGGGCCUGUCUGGCUCAACAAAAGCAUUGAAAGGAGAGCCUCGCGUUCGUGUCUGUGGUCCGUGUGUCUAUGUGUUCAUAAAUAUUUCCUUUCAGAAGCUUGCUUUUCAGUCACACAGUGAUGUAUGGAAACAAUGUCCAUCUUAAUGGCUGGGCUUGGUGGCCUGCGCCUGGGACCCCAGCACACCGGGGCGGGAGCGGUUGAG